Long non-coding RNA from Helianthus annuus (common sunflower), 3781 nucleotides. RefSeq lists it as uncharacterized. The record is from RefSeq and is a predicted model, not a curated record. NCBI's taxonomy places the organism in Eukaryota, Viridiplantae, Streptophyta, Magnoliopsida, Asterales, Asteraceae. The transcript has 13 exons.
UCCCCAUUUUUCUUUAACCCUAGCCCUCAAUCUGUCACGAAUUCUUCUCCUCUCCUUUUUCUUUCGCUAUUUUGAAUCUAUUUUGAAUCGGAAUCAUCUAUCUAUAACAUGUUUCUUCAAUCAGUAUUACUUCCUUCGUUUUAUGUUAUUCACAGAUCCCAGGCAGAACAUCAUCUUCGUUGGGGAAUAAUUAUUGUGUUGUUUUCGAUGUCGAUGACUAAAUACGUUUGCUGUUUCUUCCGAAUCCGAACAAGAUUAUCAUGUUCAAUCGCCCUACAUCAGAAGAAAAGGGGUUUUCAAAUGCUACUUUAGGUUUCUUCUCACUUUGAUUUUUUGGAUUAUGCCAGUCGAAUGAUCUACAUUGCUUCUGUCACUCCACGUUGCCCAUAUUUGAUGUUUUUGUUGGGUUCUUCUCAAAAGUUACAAAGAUGCUUACAUUCUUUAGUACAGUGCUUCACUUUGAUUUUUUGGAUUAUGCCUGUCGAAUGAUCUACAUUGCUUCUGUCACUCCACGUUGCCCAUAUUUGAUGUUUUUGUUGGGUUCUUCUCAAAAGUUACAAAGAUGCUUACAUUCUUUAGUACAGUGCUUCACUUUGAUUUUUUGGAUUAUGCCUGUCGAAUGAUCUACAUUGCUUCUGUCACUCCACGUUGCCCAUAUUUGAUGUUUUUGUUGGGUUCUUCUCAAAAGUUACAAAGAUGCUUACAUUCUUUAGUACAGUGCUUCACUUUGAUUUUUUGGAUUAUGCAUGUCGAAUGAUCUACAUUGCUUCUGUCACUGCACGUUGCCCAUGUAAGUUUACCUUUCUUUCAAUAUAGACAUGUAUUUUUUUGGAUAAUCACUUUGUAUUUUUUGUUUAAAGAUUUGAUGUUUUUGUUGGGUUCUUCUCAAAAGUUACAAAGAUGCUUACAUUCUUUCGUACAGUGGUAAGUUUUCCAUACUUUUUAUUGAUUAUUGUACUUUCAAUUUGGGUUAUUUGUUCUUACAAAUUACUAGGUCAAAUUUGAGCUUUUGUUUAGGAUAUUGAUGGUUUUAUAGCUGGGAUAGUUAUUAUUUUGGUGUCUUACUUGAAUGGCUCUUUCUUUAUUUGUUCUAAGUUUUUUAAUUUCAUGAAUGGUUUUACUUUUGAAAUCAUAAAUAUGACAAAGGUCUUAGCAAUCAGUUGAAUGCUUUAACGGUUCGGUUCACGGUUUGGUUUUGGCGGUUUGCGGGUUUAAUGGUUGGGUUGGUCAAAACCAGCUGAACUGGACCAUGAACAAUGUAUAGUUGAUUCGCAUUGAAUAGUUUCCCAUGAUAAUUAAAAAAUAUCGUUGAUCAUCUCAUUUUACAACUUCACUUUGAUUUUUUGGAUUAUGCAUGUCGAAUGAUCUACAUUGCUUCUGUCACUGCACGUUGCCCAUGUAAGUUUACCUUUCUUUCAAUAUAGACAUGUAUUUUUUUGGAUAAUCACUUUGUGUUUUUUGUUUAAACAUUUGAUGUUUUUGUUGGGUUCUUCUCAAAAGUUACAAAGAUGCUUACAUUCUUUAGUACAGUGGUACGUUUUCCAUACUUUUUAUUGAUUAUUGUACUUUCAAUUUGGGUUAUUUGUUCUUACAAAUUACUAGGUCAAAUUUGAGCUUUUGUUUAGGAUAUUGAUGGUUUUAUAGCUGGGGUAGUUAUUAUUUUCGUGUCUUACUUGAAUGGCUCUUUCUUUAUCUGUUCUAAGUUUUUUAAUUUCAUGAAUGGUUUUACCUUUGAAAUCCUAAAUAUGACAAAGGUUUUAGCAACCAGUUGAAUGCUUUAACGGUUCGGUUCACGGUUUGGUUUUUGCGGUUUGCGGGUUUAAUGGUUGGGUUGGUCAAAACCAGUUGAACUAGACCAUGAACAAUGUGUAUUUGAUUCGCAUUGAAUAGUUUCACAUCAUAAUUAAAAAAUAUCGUUGAUCAUCUCAUUUUACAACUUUAAGUGAAACCCUGAGAGCUGAAGUGCAGCGGCUGAAAAUCGAGAUGGGUCAAACGCGACCACAUAAUCAAGACGGUGGUGACAACCCAUGUAUAAUUAAGAUUACUGAUUUAUUUCAUUUCUACUAAUUAGUAUGGUCGCUUCAAUUGCCAACAAGAAUAACUAUUUGCGUAGGGUACAAUUUUCGCUAUAUAGAUGGCCCACUGAUUGUUCCUUUUAAUAUUUCUAAUUCUAUGUUAUCACAAACAUCAUUCUACAGCUGAUACAAUAAUUUUAUGUCGUUUAUUUGUGUCACAACACUUUUUGCUAAAAAAGUAAGGUGUGUUCGUUCAUAUUCUUGAAUUGUUUACCACAAAUUAAGUUGGGGAUCACAAAUGACGUUAUCAAACAACGAUCAGAUAUGAUUCGAUCUCUACUUGGUGUUGCAAGCAUAUCAAGGUAUGUCGUUCAUGACUACAUUUUCUUUUAUUUAUUGGCUGGCGUUUUAGCAUGGAAGGACCCGCAAGUGUUGGUACGAUCUCUUCAAAUCGCAUAGAUAUUGGUUGUACAUUAGCCCUGUCAUGUUAGAAGUGUAUCUUAUUAUAUUGACUUCUUGGUUUGUAUCUCAGUGUGUGCGCUAUCUACUGCUGCAAACAUGUGCAAGAAACUUCCAUCUGAUGCUACUGAUUUUGUUAUGGAUGCUAUUCGUUUAUUGACUAAUCUUUUUCAAUACCAUUACCAUGAUGCCAAGGUUUUGGCGUAUGCUUCAGUUUUUUUGACUCGAGUUGCUAAGGUAUUUGCAGCAUCUCCUGAUCAGCAGGACGAGCUUUGUACCCAUGGAUUGGUUAAAUAAUUUGAUUCUUUUAGUGUGUAAUUUUUUGAGAUUGUGACUUUUGCAAAUGAGCUUCUUCCUUGGUUGCCUAAUGGAACCAUAACUCUUCAUACGACUAAUAAUGUAAUUGAAUUACUUGAAUUAGCGAUGAUUUUGUUCAUCUUGCUCAAGGUCAAGUAUCAAAGGUCUCUAAUGUUCUUUUUUUUUUCUCUCCGUUAAAUUCUUUGAGCAAUAUAUCCUUUUAUGUUAUAAAUUAUUUUACUAAAGUUUAUUAUAGUCAAUUUUCUAUAUUUUGAACUGUAAGUUAUUCCUACCUUAUGUAGCUUAUACUAUAGCUGCCAAGGAGCUUGAUAAAAAGGCUAUUUAUCUAGGUAAACUAUUUAUUGUUGAGUGGUUAGAAACUAAAUGUAUGGAUACUCUUUGGAUGAAGAAGUUAUUCAACAUUUGUCUAGCGCACCUGUGUGCUGAUGAUCCACACAAAAAGAUGGAUCCAAGAUUGGGACUCUCUACAUCAAGCAUGGCAGUGCCAAGAAAAGAAAGAAAAAUAUAAAAGGAAUGAAGGGCCAGGUCAAUAUAAUAGCUUUAGGAGAUUUGGGAGUAUGGCAAGGAUGGGUUUUUUAAACUCUAUUUUGACAUAUGGCUUAAAAUCUGAUAGGAGAUUUGGCUCAAUUGCAUCCUCUCUGUUGUUGAUGACAUACAAUUAAUAACAAAGAAGUUGCGAGCAUUGUAUCUUCUCGAUGGUAUUGUGAAGAACAUUAGGCAGGUUCCAUUAAACACUUUUCGAACAAACUCCCCGAGGUUUUCUGUAAGACGUAUAGACAUGUUGAUUGUACCGUACAUUUAAUGGGACAUAUUUUCGGGACUUGGAAAGGAGUGUUUCCUCCUCAAACGCUACACUCAAUAGAGAAAGAACUCAGUUUACAAUUAGUUGGGAACGGAUCAACUUUAACUUCAAUCAAAAGCUCCAUUUUAGUUUGAUAUACGUUAGUAAUUAAACGUUAGUAUUAAUGUAUUUCAAUUAUUUGGUGUAC